GAUGAACGCUGGCGGCGUGCCUAAUACAUGCAAGUCGAGCGAACAGAUGAGGAGCUUGCUCCUCUGACGUUAGCGGCGGACGGGUGAGUAACACGUGGAUAACCUACCUAUAAGACUGGGAUAACUUCGGGAAACCGGAGCUAAUACCGGAUAAUAUAUUGAACCGAAUGGUUAAAUAGUGAAAGAGGGUUUUGCUGUCACUUAUAGAUGGAUCCGCGCCGCAUUAGCUAGUUGGUAAGGUAACGGCUUACCAAGGCAACGAUGCGUAGCCGACCUGAGAGGGUGAUCGGCCACACUGGAACUGAGACACGGUCCAGACUCCUACGGGAGGCAGCAGUAGGGAAUCUUCCGCAAUGGGCGAAAGCCUGACGGAGCAACGCCGCGUGAGUGAUGAAGGUCUUCGGAUCGUAAAACUCUGUUAUUAGGGAAGAACAAAUGUGUAAGUAACUAUGCACGUCUUGACGGUACCUAAUCAGAAAGCCACGGCUAACUACGUG
RNAcentral lists this ribosomal RNA (497 nucleotides) under uncultured bacterium. RNAcentral's name for it is "partial 16S ribosomal RNA". It matches the Rfam family "Bacterial small subunit ribosomal RNA", at positions 28 to 507 of the family's 1533-position model. The record is from RNAcentral.